UCACACAAAAUUAAAGUAUUUCAAAGUAUAUCUUAAUUAGAAAAAUGGCUAGCAAAAUAACUUUCUGUGCUCUACUCUUUUGCUUUUUCCUCAUGUUUGCUUCUGAUAUUGAAGGUGUGAAGGAUGGAAUUUGCAAGCAAUUUAGUUCAACAUUUAGUGGUCAAUGCUAUGUGUCAUCUCAUUGUGAGGAAACAUGCAUUAAAGAAGGAAGUUCAACAGGAGAGUGUGAGUGGAAAGGAAUACAUUGGGGAUUUGUUUGUAUGUGUGAAUAUUUAUGUUGAGUGAAAUUGAAAUCAUCAUCAAAAUGCAUACAUAUAAGAAAAUAUAAAAGCUUAGUCUUGUUAUUAUGUAAUAUAUAAAAUAUAAAAUAUAAUAAGAUGAGAGAGUUUUAAUUGAGAUGAAAAAAUAAUGUUCUAAUUGAGUGCAAAAUAAGAAAGGAAGUGUUGUGUAAUUGAAUAAAGUGUUCUUGAUGUUACUUCUAUUGUAUGAUAUUGAAAAUAAAUAAUUCAAUGUAUAAGAUACAUGUUGUGGUGUGUGA
This is a non-coding RNA of Solanum lycopersicum (tomato), 538 nucleotides long. The record is from RefSeq and is a predicted model, not a curated record. Lineage: Eukaryota; Viridiplantae; Streptophyta; Magnoliopsida; Solanales; Solanaceae.